GACGAACGCUGGCGGCGUGCUUAACACAUGCAAGUUGAACGGGGCAUAUAUUUGACAGACUUUUCGGAGUUUAGAAGAUAUAUGUUUAGUAGCGGACGGGUGAGUAAUGCAUGAGAACCUGCCCUUCAGAGGGGGACAACAGCUGGAAACGGUUGCUAAUACCCCAUAAGCCGAGAGGUAAAAGGAGUAAUCCGCUGAGGGAGGGGCUCAUGUCCUAUCAGCUAGUUGGUAAGGUAACGGCUUACCAAGGCGAAGACGGGUAGCCGGCCUGAGAGGGCGAUCGGCCACACUGGAACUGAGAUACGGUCCAGACUCCUACGGGAGGCAGCAGUGGGGAAUAUUGGGCAAUGGGCGCAAGCCUGACCCAGCGACGCCGCGUGAGGGAAGAAGGCCCUUGGGUCGUAAACCUCUGUUGUAUGGGAAGAAGGACGUGACGGUACCAUACGAGGAAGUCCCGGCUAACUACGUG
This 469-nucleotide ribosomal RNA is filed under the name uncultured bacterium. Its description in RNAcentral is "bacterial SSU rRNA". It matches the Rfam family "Bacterial small subunit ribosomal RNA", at positions 28 to 507 of the family's 1533-position model. The record is from RNAcentral.